Gasterosteus aculeatus aculeatus (three-spined stickleback) is the source of this 16994-nucleotide long non-coding RNA. The record is from Ensembl. Lineage: Eukaryota; Metazoa; Chordata; Actinopteri; Perciformes; Gasterosteidae.
UGAUCGGCAGACAGCAUCUGGGGGAUGUUAUUUGGUGCAGCAUUAUCUUUUUGAUAGCAGGUAGCUCAAAGCUGACGCAAGAAAAAAAAGAACUAUAGGCAUAUGUUAUUUGGUAUUGCACCUAUAAUGAAAGAUUGCUUUUGGAAAAGGUGUCUGCAGAAGAUUACAUGUGAUGUUUAUGAAAAAAUGUCUGAUAAGGAAACAAAACAUGAAACCAACACUGAAAUUGAAGAAACGUUUGAUUGAGACUUCAGCAGGUAGGUCUCUUUGAUGAUGACAAGGAAGCUUGGCUUUUCCCUCUUAGCUCCCUUUGUCCUCUAUCCGGCUCUGAAGGCUCUUGUCUUCAGCCUUCAGCUUUGUCUCAAGCGGGCACCUGGUAGUUGUGGAAGCUCCUCUCUAUCUCGUCUGGUGUCUGUGGAGGCAGCACGGGCAUUGAGUUUCCUGAUACUUGAUUGAUAGGUGCCACAUAAUGGAAACAAUUUUACUUCAGCGCUGUGAGCAGAGUCCUUCGUUCAAUUUUCUCCCUUGACAUGACCCUGCCUAUUUUGUCCUUCACCUACGGCUGAUGCAGGAUAGCCUUUUAGCAUUCACCGCUCACAGCCCUGACCUCCUCUCAGCCGUUGAUAUCACUUCCCGAGCACCACCACCUCACUCUAAAGCCUUUUGCCUUUUAAGAGAAGCCUCAUUUGCCUCCCAUGUGCCCCUCUGGGUCCAGGGAACUCACCAUGGGGAUGCCUGGGUUGGUCGCCCCCAGGGGGGCCCAGGAGAGCUAGCGUCUUCCUACAUGGCUCAUUGUGGUUACAGACUGGGUUAAACUCCAAUCUGAGUCUUGUCCAGAGUUGGGUUUCAGGUGUAGUCUGGGCACAAAGUUAAUUUUGACAUCACUGUAUAGAUUUCUAAAACUUUUUUCAUAGGGUAUAAGUACUGUAAAAAUGGAUAAAUAAAAAGGUAUUUUAAUUAGAGAUUAAUAAUAUUAGGGUAAUAUUACAGUUGGUUGCAGUUUAUAUAAAUUAGUUUGUGUGAUAUGUACUUCAGCACGUGUGUUAUCCCUGACAGUCUAACGUCGUAGUGGUAAAAUGUCAAUCUUUGAUUUGUCUUUGUUAAUUGGUUUGUACUGACACUAACAGCCAAUCCAACUCCGUUCUUGGGUAGAUGGGUGGGGCUUAGGCGGCCAUCAAGUUUUAGGCCUCUACGCUCCAAAGCUAUGACUCUCGUUUGUCACGUGUGUGCGAAACUGGGCGGCAUAUUAUAUUGAUGUUCACGUGUAAUAAAUGUCAAACUGUUUUUGUUAAAUGCUUUUGAAGUCUGUUUGCUCAGUUGAAGUCCAGUACAAAAAUGUUCUGGCAAGAGCUGGUUAAAAGUGGUAACAAACAAAAAAUAUGAGACAACGGACUUAAUAAGAGGCAUCAACCUUUUGUUUUAUUCAUCAAAUUUGAUUGUAGGCACCACCAUUUAUAUGAGUUUUCAAAAUAAGGGAACAACAAUUAUAAGACAAAUAGUAUUAAGGUAUAAGAACAGGUAAUGAUAGGGCCAUUAUAUUCAAAACUGAACCCAGGGCUCCGCCCAUAGUACUACUACACCUAGCAGAUUAUCUUAUUGUUAUACAGCCACAUGGGACGGAUGUUACACAAACAUGAGAAAAUAUUUGUUCCAUUGAGUGCAACUCUGUCAUACAGACAACAAGUUGCCAUUAAAGGAAUUGCCAUGGUCAGAUGUGACAAUGGUACUUGGUGUUUGGCAGUAGCAUUGAAACAGCAGUCCAUUUUUGUCCUGACAAACAGAGUGCGUCAUUGAGGUAUUAAAAAGUCAACAAUUUUGGAACAAAACUAACCUCAUCGUCCAAGAAAUGAGACCUUUGGGGAAACCAUGUGCGUUCCCUUCUGGCAUAUCCAACAUUUCUCUGCAUCAAACGACACACACACAGACACACACACAUACAACAUGGAUGAAGCGUGACAGCGGUCCGUGAGUGAGGAGUUAGCAGGUGGGGUCACCACCCUCCCCCUCUUUAGAGCUGACACACAGAAAGAAGAAACACUUAGGCCCAACACACACAGACUCCUGCACAUGCAUUCAUGCUCACUGAGACUCCUUGAUACCCAAUGGGGAGAUGAGCGUUCAAGCCUCCGUUAAAGCCCCAGCUGUCCCCUGCAGCCCCCCAUUCUUUCUCCCUCCUCAUCUCUUCAUGCACUCUGUAUCUCCACCCCCCUCUCUCUCUCUCUCUCUCUCUCACUCACACAAACACAUGCAUCUGUGUGCAAACACAUACUCGACAAUGCCCACACACUUGGCUUAGCAUCUGUGCAGGCAUCGUAGCCUCUAGUAUACACAGUCUUUGAGCUAAAGCGCCGUAUAAGCUUCUCCGUCUGUUUUUCCAGCCGCUCAAUGUGCAUGUGCGCCCUUAAUCUACUCACUGCGAUACUGGCUACAACAUUCGGAGGGGUAAAGGUUGGCCUCAGGGCGGCUUUCUCGGCUUUGUUUGAUCCACGCAGAUUGGCUUCCGUUGGCAACAGAGUGUGCGUGUUUCUGCACUUCCGCAUGUACCGUACAUGUGCUCGCUCUUGUAUGUUUAUACAUGUUUACGGUUAUCUCCCUGGUGUUAUUGACUUCGAUGGACAUGUAUUGAGGAUAUAUGAGUGUGUUUCUGCGUACCGUUUUCCUUCCAAAAAUCUCCUCCACAGGCCACGUAGCACCUGUGGUUGAGUGGAACGAGGUGCAAGAGAGAAAGACGAGCAGGUGAUGCAGGUGUUGACUGCCUCAUCACAUCAAACUAGUGGGGUUAAAUCUGAAAUGAUGUCAAAGAAAACUCUGCAGAAUAGUAUUUAUUCCUCCACACCAACAAUGGUGUUUCCAUCGGUCUCGAUUAAGAAAUACUACUUUUGAGCCUUGCAGACUUUCUCAUACUUGAUCUCAUACAUGAUCAAACUUCUAGCUCGUUCAGCAUUCUGACAGAAAGAACAAAAACACGAUGUAUUAAAACACAGUUACACCAGUUACCCAUUCUGGACACAAGUCAUUUGUUCAGAUUAAGCUGGUUAGGUGUGGACGUGAUUCAUGUGAAGGAGGAUAAUGAACAUCAAGAUUUGAUUUAGUUGCUAAAACUCUUGUUUUUAUUGUUACUUGGGAUCAUAGCUCACUAAUAUAUUCUUCCUGAGGAAUGGAUGUAAUCAACACAAAUUGUCAAAUGGUGCAAAUGGGCAGGUGCCUUCAUUUUUCCGAUUGGCCUUUGGGUGCAAACGCUGCAAGCAAGAAACUCGUGUUUCUGUACCAGGAAUCCCUGUGAGGAGAGGGAGGUGGGAGGUGGGAGGAGAGGGAGGAGUGGGAGGAUCAAGUGGCCGCAUUUUGUCCUUUUCCUCCUCAGCAGGUGAUGCUCAUGUGUUCAGCUCGGAGCAAUUAACCCCGAAGUGUGUAAAUGGAUUAACAUAGAUGUGGGAGGGAUUUCUUUCUGCCAAGCAGGGUGGGUUUUAUUUUCUUUCUUUUUUUACUUUUAAGCCUCUUUCUUAUCAUUAUUUUGUUUGCCUGGGGCUGUGGGGGUCUCCGAAGGAGUUUCUAAAGAGCAAUGAUGACUGGAGGGAAAAGGAAGUUGCACUUAUGGUUAGAAUCCUCCUGAGAUCCAACUAUUCUAAAGUGGUAGAAAAUGGUUGCUUAAUGAUAUAGAUUUUAAUUAGGGCUGUCAAUAGAUUUUUUUUAAAUUGACUAAUUAAUCGCACCUUUUGAAAUUCAUUCAUCUCUAUUAAUGGCGAUUAAAGAAUGUUUUUUUUUUCUGAAGACUAAAUCUUAAAAGAAAUGAGUGAUCACUUUAGAAAGCGUGUAUUUUUGACACUGUUCUUUAAUUGUUAAUCUUAUUUUAAACACAAAACUACACACAUUUGAUCAUCUUGGAGGCAGAAUUCCACCGGGUGGAACAUGUUCAACUCUCCAUAAUUUGACGGCUGUGUUUGAAGUGCCAAUAAUCUCCCCACAUUUGGCAACAACGUUUUCAAACGUCUUUUAGGGACACCGUGGUGGUCCUCUGCAGACAUCUUGAUGUAACUGACUGCAGCCAUAGAUAUCUAAAGGUUAGAUGUCUCGUCCGCGUUGCCGGCCAACGGAGUCGAACAUCCGCACAUGGCGGCCAUCUUGCCAGUCAGCUCGUCACCCAUAACAUUGUGUUAGUGGUUCAUUUACUUUUAAAUAACCAUAACCCAAUUUUCAACCGUUUUAAACGGUUUGGUUUGUUAUAAACGUCAGAGAUGUAGUUAUGACACUGCAUACUAUGAAUAAUUAUGUUGUUCUAAAAAAUAGAAUAAUUUUCCAAAAUAGGGUACAAGAUUUCCCUACACAAUUUCUCUUUUACAAAUAUACAUCAAGAAAUGCUGCAUGUUGUUGAAAUCCCCACUCUGUACAGAGAUGUAUUUAUGACUCUGCAAACUUAUGAAUAAUUAGAAUUAUAACCAUGGGUUUUCAUAAGGAAAUAACAUUAAACAGAACAGAUAUGUGCAAUAAAUACACACAUGCACGAGGGAUGUUAUUUAUGUUGACUCAAUAUAUAGGCUACUAAAACUCAGCAUACAGAAUGGCAACAUGAGAUAUAUGUAUACUUUUAUAAUAGAAAUAUUACUAAUAUAAUAGAAUACGUUUGUAUGCACAGUAUGGUUUAAGUACAAACAACUUUUUGUUUGGUUUUACAGGACUGAUCUUUGCACCACACUGUUGGUUCCCUCAACUUACUGGUUUACACCUCCCGUUACUUUCUAUUCUUAUUUAUUGUUGUUGUGAUUCCUUAUUUUUAUUGAUUUCACUGUUUGGGUCAUUUUUUAUCUCUGUCCUCCAUGUGUAUACCUCCACAGUAGUCUACCUCUCUCUUGAGGGCGGGAAUUUUCAACAUGCAGCAUUUCUUGAUGUAUAUUUGUGGGAAAGGGAAAUUGUAUUACUGCAAAUAAAUGUCACUUUUAUAAAAAAUAUUACCAAUAUAAUUUAUUUGAAUUAUUACACAAACUACUGUAUCAAUUUGAUUGAUUAUGCAAUCACAAAAGCAAAAACUAAAUUUCAUCAGUCUAAGCUGUUUGGAUCACGCUCCCCUGACAGACUUGUAACGUCGCCAUAAACAUCUUGAACUGUAAAUGGCACAGAGCUGUUGGGGGAGCCUGAGCCGCCUCAGUGGAUCUCCUUUUGCUUACAUAGAUGAGCAACCCCUGACACGCCACAUCUUACCAUGCAUAAUUCAUGGAUGCAGGAUCAACCACUGAUCUCUGAAGAUGGUAUGGGUCAAAUUUGUGUUUAAGUAGCAAACUUUUGAUUCUGUCUCAGUGGAGAACAUUGGGAAAAGAAUAUGCGAUGCUUUGAAGCACUUUGAGAGGAGAGGAGAUCCACAGAGAGCUCAGUGAGAAAAGGGCCUGAACGGUGGGAGGACUGAGAGAACAAGAAAGGUUUCAUUAACACUGCUGAACACCAAACCCGUGCUCAUGUUUAUAUUUUUCGACAACAUUGCGGUUGCAUCAUUUUCUGUCUUGUUGAUAUCUUAGCCUAAAGCCAUAGACAGCAUGUGUCUUCCAGAAGUCAAUGGGUUUCCCGAAUGGGGUUUUUGGUUAAAUACCUAAAACAAAGUCUGGGUGGAGCACAAGCUCAAGUAAUUUGCAUUUGUUAAUAAAAAUAUCAGAUAAUACCCCUUUGUCAAAUCUUUGUGCUUUUAUGUGUUUUAAAAAAAGAUGAGACAACAAAAAGCCACUAUACCAUCCUGGUUUCCUCACGCACAUGUGACCGUGUUUACAAUAUAAACACCCGCUUUCAAAUGGGUUACUUUAAACAUUUAUCUAAAGAAGGUUGCUAAACCAGCUGCUGUGGAAGCCAAAUAUAUAAAGAAAACCUAGUCAUUAAAUGUAUUCACUCACUAUGCUCUCUUUCUCCUUCUCUCUCCCGCUGACACACACACACACAAGGUCCAGAGUGCACAUUCUGCACAUAUUCUAAGGAACACCCAUCCCAUAAGUCAGCCUGCAUGAGCUUUUGGGAACUAAAAUGUAAAUAACAACAGACAGGAGAGUAGUUCCUGCUAAGAAAGAGACUGUGACUAAAUUAGUGCAGUCUGCGUGGUACAUCUCAACUGUCAUGUUUGAGGCGUUUAUGUAAAGAACACAUACACUUUCUAACACACACACAUGCACAUAGUACAUAUAUACCUUUGGUCUUGAUCAUUUUGCGUCAACUUCCACUGCAUUAUUUAUGUUGAAGGGAGCAUAUCCUGAGGAGACGUUGUCCUCCACCGACCCCAGAGUUCUGUUUGUGUGCUCGCAUAUUGAGAUGAUGUGCCUAUAUGAGAGAAUGACCCGACAUUGCCAAUUACACAAAUUCAAAAAUAGAGAUAAACGAGGGAUGAUAUCAUCACUGGAAUAAAACAGCCUUCCUGCCAUCAUAUGGCUGUGGAACAGAAACGCAUGCAAAUACAGGGCUGGUGAAACGCUGGUGCUUCCAUUCGGUCCGGUCUGAGUUUUUCUUGAAAUUGAGGAAAUCUUUUUUGUCAUUCAAAUUGACGCGCGUCAAACUGGUUGGCAUGAUAGCAUGCUGUGCUGUUUUCAGGACUCCUGUGUGUUUAGGUUUUGAUCCUAGAGUGGCAAAGCUUCUUUCUCUAUCUUACUUCAUUCCGUCCUGCCUUGCCCUCGGUCCCGUCACCAAGUUGCUUAUUGUCGUCUUCUGUCAUUUCUAUCAAAAGGUUAAAGGAGGAUUAUUCUCAGUUUCUUUUAAGUUAAUGUGCUCCUUGACAUCACAGUGAGAUGAAGCACAUCAGAAAAAGUGGGUCUACAUAGGUGUUUGUUCGACAUCAAAGGUUAAAUAUCUAACAUGACUGUGAGUAUUGAGUCAUUUGUUUUAUUAAUUUUGUUGUUGUGCACAAUUUUCCACCCCCCAAAAAAGAAUGAAAUCUUGUUGAAUUGCUUAUUUGCGGUAAAAUAGAAACCUCACACGUCUGGGUGGUAAUUUCUCCUGACAGGAAGCACUUUUAAACGUUUGAGAGGCCGCGCUGCCAGGAUUCACCCUGUUGACUUUAUGCCCUUGUGCCCUAGUCCCUAGUGAAGUGAGUGACAUGAUUAUGUAUUAUGUUGGCUCAGUGGAGUGGAGGCACAAUAAUGCUCUGAACACAUUAUUUAACACUGACUAGCAACUGGGGGGCUUAUUUUUUGUUUCUCUAGCUGAAGAAAGCUGAGGUUUCCUUAAUAGUGUUAGCAUUCACACUCAACUACUUCCUACAUUUCCUCUCCACCUCUAUUUUUUAUAUAUAUAUUGCAAUAUUUCUCCUUACCAAAUGCUCCAAAACUAAGUUCAAUCAGGAGGGACUUCUUGAAUUUCACAAUAAUGUAUUAAUACAUUUGAAUAUUGCAAAGUCCUCUGAUAAGCCGGGUUUUGCUGCUGGUUGGAGGUCUCCUGGUGGAGGGCUGCAUCUGCUGCGCCCGGAGAUGACAACUGACAGCAACACAGAGGACAACAGUUUCAAAAGUUUGACAGUACGGAUGUGAUUGGUUUACAGAAACGGUGCCCACAUCUGGUUGGCUACUUCUAAACGAGCCCGCCCCCAAUCAGCUGACAGCGUAACCACAGGGAGAGAUGCUGCAGCUGAACUGCACACGCUUCUUCAGCUUGUCUUCCUCACUGAAUUUACGCCUAAGCUUCAUUUUAAACAUCUGCUGUUCCAUCAAACACAGCUCUGUAUUCCCCCAACUUCAAAUCAAACGCAGCCCAAUUGAGCAAAUAACCAACUCAAACUGGCACGGUGGUGAAAUGAUACAAUGAACAACAGCAGCAGUAAAAACCCUCUUGCUGAAUAUUGAAGUGAUGCUCAAUCAUAUAUUGCAACAAUCAAAUUGCAGGAUUGACAUUGUGAAAUAUGUAUACAAAAAUUCUCUUGAUAACACAGAAUGUAUUUUUCUUAGUAGUUCAAAUGACCAAAUUAGAAUAUAGAAACAUAGGGUUACCCCCCUCCUCAAUUCAUUCUUUAAAAUGAAUUUUCUUUGCCACAUAAUAUGAACACGGGUACUGCUGAUUGUGGUAUUAGUAUGCAAGUGUGUAUGCACAUACCAUGCUGUGGGCUUGGCUCCUGCCAGCGCAUGGGGUGAGGGGGGGUUACAUAUUAUGGAGGCCAUGUGUGUGCAUGUGUAACAGACAUGCACACACGUACACCAAUCCCUGCUGUUACUACUGAGGUUUCAUCAUUCACACACUCUGCUCACAAAAGGAAAGCAAUUAUGAAGGAUCAGCACAUCUUGUGAUGUGGAAAAUGCACCCUGGAACACUCAUGGCAGGAACGUGUGUACAGGGCUAUAUGUCCGCGAUGGGGGGGGGGGGUUGUGUGUGUAACUGCAUUGAGUCAUCUAAUUGGGAUUCUGCAGUAUGCAUCCGCAUUUGCCGUCAUACAUGCAUGUGUGUAUGGUGAGCCCAUCACAGCGCUGCUGUUGAAAAUGUUAAUUCUCCGCCUACGUACCCGCCCGCCCACCCUCACGAUGCCUCAUUACCUGUGCAAAGGGAAUCAGCCCACUGAUUCAUUCCAAAUAGGUUUUUAAAGAACAGCAUGCAAACGUUACUGCAGCUCACGGCCGGCAUGAACCAUACCCGGAAAUAUUCAGUCAAAGCAAUACAAAUAGAUCACAUGAUCAGGGUGAGAAAGGCUGUUGUAACGUCCGCGCACCCCCCCUAUGAUUAUCUGGCCCGAACCUGAAAUGAGUUUGGACCCCCGCGUGUGUGUUUCCAUGCAUUUGUGCGUGUGUGUAUGUAUCAAUGUAUUCAAAAGUGCUGCAGCUUGUUGCUCCGAUUUUCUUUUUUAACGCCCAAAAAUAAACAUGAAUUCCUGUCUAAGAGGCCUAAAAUACAAUGAGCAAAACCCUGUUGUGUGUUUGUGUGUGUCUGUGUGUGAGUGUGUCGUGGAGUGCCUCCCUAUCUCCGUGGGCCUGCGUGCAGUCACAGCUUUUGCUGCUUGCGCGUGCAACUUCCUGGAAAGCAGCUCUGACUAAUCUGGCCACCCAAACAGUAACAACAACAACAACACGCCUGAGAGAUGACCCCCAACCACACCGAGGAUAUUACACUUACACACUACACACGCACAGGCGCACAUGUGUCUGCUGCCUCACUGUCUCCGUCUCCUCCGUGGGCCAUCUGGCUCACACGUUAAUGAUAACAUGAUCACGGAGGAUUUGCUAUAGUUAUUGGAUUAGCAAAAGGUCACCGUGUCACUUUCGCAGUGUCGCAGCUUUCGAGUCCCUGCUGCUGCAUUUUGUUAUUAUCUGCCACAAUUCCAAGAAAUACACCCACAAACCCCCCCCCCCACACACACACACACACACAAACGAUGGAGGUUUCACCAAAACACAUCAGGUCGUAAACAACAGCUGCGCUUCUGUUGUAUUAUUUAAUAGUGACUCUUGUAUUUGUGUUGAGAACAGUGAAAUGGGGCUUUUUUUUACAUGCAUUUAUUCCUGUUUGAACAGUUAAAUGAAAGUCCGGGCUGGACCGGAUUACCUGGGAUUAACAUGGACUAUCAGUACCCAGUUUAUUUGGGCCAGAGGUGUCCUCCUCUGCUCCUGGUAUCAGUGAAAAGACUCACGGUCAGAAGCUGGAUUCACCCCCUGUUUUAGAUGCGACAUGGAUGUUACUCAGAAAUCAUGCCUUUUGUUUUUUUGCAGAUAAGUCAAGUAGUGACGGGAGCGUUACCUUGUUAUGGCUUUUUGUGUGUAUUUCUAAAAGGGUUAUUAUUAGUAAUAGUAUCAGUAACAUAUUUUGGGUUCAGAAACAUUGAUAUCUAAUCUAUACAACGCGAUUUGCACAAGCGUACAGCGCUUGAUGCAAUAGUGAUUUCAUUAUCUGAGCUUAGCUUGGUAAUUUUAUGCAAAUGUGGGAUCCACAGUUCUCUGAUCUUGGCUCGUAGGGACUUGAGGUGAGAAUAUGUCAACUUUUGCCUCUGUGAAUUUCACAGUUUUUGUUUCUGUGGAUCGCAUAAUAGCUAAAUACUAGAGUAGAGAAUAGCUAUAAUUGAUCUUUUUAAAGUGUGGCUCGGGGUUAAAUUCAUCAAAUGGGCCUAUUGGCAGACUGUUUUACCUUCAUAGCGCCGUGUAAGAGUUCCCUCUAAUGCAGACGGCACCAAGAGAAGUGCAGAACUCAUGCUCUUCCCCACUGAAGCUGAAACAGAAGGAAAAACAAUUUGGUUUUGCCGUCUGGGCUAUUUUUCAUGCGGAGGUUGUCAAACACACCAUGUGCUCUUGAAUGCCGUCCACAGCAAUUUUUUUCAUCCUGUGCAAGCCUGGAUGGGCAAAAUAAAAUGCAAGAGCAGCACAGAAACAAAGCUUUUCCAUGAUAAAAAGAAUUGCAUCCUGUUGCAAUUAGAUUUAGAAUUAGCAUCCGUAAUGUGGCACAUUUCCUUAGUUCCUCUGCAGCACAAUGUUUUGAAAUGUUCAACAUCGUUUUACAUCUUUGAGUAUGCUGUAGAUUGAAGCUGAAAGUGGCCUUAUUUCGAAUAUACCUGUUGGUUUAUCUUCUAAAACAUCCUGUGGGUUUGGAACCAGCGUUGCACUCAUUAGACUGUAACCCAAGAGGUGUGUAAACGCUUCACCCAAAUGUAGAAGUUGCACAGCUGUUUACAAGCAUUUCAACCUCAACAUACCUCUCAAGCAGAGUAACCGACCGCCUGUUGGUGCCAAGACUUUGUAGACAGAAUUUUUGUGGUUUCAAAGCCAAGUAGCAAAACAUCGUUUCCAUUGCCGCUGCUGUUUUUUUUUGAGUCGUUCUGAAAAACCACGUCUGGCUCUGCGUGUCUCAUCAUCCUGACCCAUAUCCAUCCCUCCCCUUUGUCCUCAUCGCCCUCCUUCUGGCCGUCUGCAAGAGUUAUCAUGUGUGGAGGGAAUGAGUUCAUUUUUCAGACCACGAGACAAUACCUCACCCUUCCCGCUCUGGCGCUCUAUCUGAAUCACGGAUCGGGAGGAGGUGGAAAACAUCUCGGCAGUCCAAAACAAACAGCUGUGUGUGUGCGUGUGUGAAUCACCAUUAAGGGCUGCGGUGCUGUGAUAUGUUUCCAGUAGCCUGCUGUCAGGUGGCCAAUGCAGAGAGGGACUCCUACAGCUCCACCGGUGUCUCUGUGGGCCGCCGCUCAGAUAAAUGCGUUACGCUGACAGACAGCCUCUACGAACGGCUCGCCAAUUGGUUUACAAUCUCAAAGGAUUGACUGUUUUCUAACCCCCCUCUAGCUAAAUGACUGCCGGGAAUGAAUGACUGACUCGUUAGGACAGCAAGCAGUGGGAGAUUAGGUAGCAGAAGAGUCAUCUCUGGUUUGUUCAAAGACAUGGACUUUAUAGACCGUAAGUAUUGGAUGUUGUCAUCGUAACAUCGCCCAUUGGUUGGAGGACUCGGCGGUAAAUGGCAGGUUUACGCCAUCUUAAAUAUUUUUGAAAUUUUUGACACAUUAGUCUUUGUUGAUAUGGACGGAUGUGAUAACUUCCUUGCCUGCUUGUUAAAAAGCUGAUUGGAUGUUUGUACUUUGAAUAAUUGAAUUAUUCAGUUGUUGGCAGACAUGUUAACUGAAAAGCUGAGUUAAUGAGUCCUUGGCAACAACACUGAGCAAGAAGUCUGACCAGCAGGAUGGGAUGAAGGUGGGGAGAACAAAUGGUGUGCAUAAGUGGGAGAGAGAAUACGGUUCUGAGAAUCCAAUUUGGUUCCAUUAGGGAUGAUUAGGUUUUGAUGACGGCUGUGAGCCGCAGAGCUGCUGAGAUUAUGGGUUGAGCUGCAGUCUUGAUACAACCUCAGAUAAACCGAAGUGGUUUUGUAUCUCCAUUGUCCUGAAUCCUUUUGGUUUGGGGGAAAUCCUGCAGUGUUUAUGCAGAACAUAUUAUAAGUGGUACUUUGGUAGAGUGGAAACACAGUGCAGCUUCAAUCUCACCUGAAAUCAAACCACAGAGAGCUGACGGAGAAUAUGUUGCAGACUACGGAAAGAAAAAGUAGCCUUUCAGAGCCUAUUUCUCUUUGACAGAAAUUAAAGUGUUUUCUUGUGCUGCCUGCUAUGUAGCUAAAAUACCACUUACUAUUGGCUGUGUUGCAUCGACCCAAUCGAAUACCUGCCCAACACCAUCCAGUACGGACGUCCAGACGCAGGAAAGGCUGCAAAAACAUCCCCUCUUAAUUGAAACACAACAUCAACAACCGGUUCCACACAGUGAAGCUAUUAAACUAGAAGAACAUGGCUACACCUCAGAAGGGUGACUGGUAUCUUUCAACCUGGUUCUUUUGGGAGUUUUUUUCUCCAAAUGACUUAAUUGCUACAACACUUUGUGUCAUUAACGGGGAAGGCAUGCAGGGCUGAAACGCAAAAAGACUUUAAAAGUCAAGAUCAACAUGCCAGGGACCAGGGACCAGGGACCAGGGACCAGGGACCAGGGACCAGGGACCAGGGACCAGGGACCAGGGACCAGGGACCAGGGACCAGGGACCAGGGACUCACAAGACAUUCGGUAUGACGCAAAGGCCAACAGACACACGUGGCUUAAAUACACUGUUGAGGUGCAGGUGAUUGGACACAGGUGAAAACAAUCAGACACGGCAGACAAUCGCAGGACACGGCAGGAAGUGAAGUUACCAGGGACACAAGAGGCCGAAAACUACAAAAUAAAACAGGAAACAAACCCAAACCGUGACGCUUUGAGCACCCGAUUUUUAAGGCAGCAGAGGCUAAACGCGCCUCUCAAAGUGUUUGAUAACACUAUGGAAAGAUCCCCACAAGAAAUGAAACCUUACUUAUAAUGUAUUUUGGAAGGCGUCCUCCUGAUAUGAGUGCCAGUAAAUAUGUGUAAUGUUGGGUGAGAAAAAGAUUGACCCGGUUAUAAUUUCUUGAGCUGGUAUGUCAUAGUGGCAUUUAACAGCUAAAAUGUGAAAAUAUCCUAAGCUUCUCAAACAGAAAGGCUUUGACAUGGAACUAAGCUCCGUGGAAAUCGUAUUUGCAGUUAAUGCCUUCAACCUAGCCAAGCGCUCGCCCUCGAUGGCCCUGAGCAGAGAGCUGAAUCUGUUUCGGGGAAGCGGUUGCCGUGGCUCCCGAUGCUGUUCCGCUGCCAAGCUGGCUCCUGGCCCACUACGUUCCUCUCCUCUUCCCGGAAGGAGCAGGGAAAACCUUGGGAACCAUGGCAACGCCAGCCGGCCAAAUCAGGAGUCAUUUAUAUGUGUCCAUUUCUAAAUUCAAUGUUAAUUUGAGGCAUUCCUUCAGAUGGUUUUAUUAUGAUUGUGCGUCUUUGUGUUUGUAUGCAUGCGUAUGUGUUUAAGAGCUUUGCAGCCAUACAGAAUAUUAAUCACAAGGCCCCAAAGCCCAGAGCUUGUUAGCUACUCAGGGACCAUUUAAGUAGCUGCUUUACAAUCUGCUGCAUUGCACCUUCUGUAGAGAAAGACAACCUCAUCUGAGAAAACUUCUCACCGCAGGCCUUAUUUACACUUUUUUCGUUUUUACAUUUGUGUAUAACAAUCCUAAUUUUCAGUUUAAACGGCUUCGUUUUUUUCUGCGUUGUAGUCUGUGCAGAAUUUGCAUCUGUCAAAUGUCGGGUGUUUAUGAAAGUUGAUCCUACGGGGAAGAAUCACAAUCUUUACAAAUAAAAGCGAAUGGAAGGCAAGCAGAUGGGUUAGAGGGGGAGGAAAAGGGAGAGGUGAGCGCAGGCCGCAGUUAGAUGGAUACAGAAGAGAGAUGGAGUCAUUUAGGGACAGCGAGACGUAGCAGAGGGAGGCGAGCAGAGGCAAGGCGAACAAGCAGACCAGUGUUUUCGAAAAACCUCCCCAGACAGCCUGAGAAAAACACACCGCGGAAACCCACUGCGAGGUUCAUCUCAGGUAGCGGCGGCUGAUGAUAAUAAUGAGGCGGCAGCGCAGUAGAAAGCGGCUCGGUUAGUGGUUGGUUGUCGUUUUCUCGGAAGAUUGUUAUCUCUAGAAUUGUCAAAUGACUCAUCUGUCGCCUUCUAUUCCGUUAUCUGUCAGUUGAGCUUCAUUUGUUUGAAUUGAUUGACAGCAUUUAACAAACAUCAACAAGAAUGACACAGUAAAUGAUAAUAAAUCACGGAGCAACACUUUGUGGCUGCUGUCUAAAUGGUUAAAGACGGCAGCAUCCUGUCUGUCCUGCUUCGUGUCCCGUAUGCACCAAUUCCCUGCACUUCUCGCUAUGUGAGUACCCUUAUUGAUGUGCAGCAUUCUCAAGCCCAUUUCCCGUAUGUUGAACCAUGAAUACUAAAUGCCUUUCUCAAACCAUAAUCCAAAUUUUGACCUGUCCCUUAAAAAACCUCAUCUCAAUCAGGCCCGUGGAAGUUGGUUGGUUACUAGAAACGGCGAAGGACGGCAGGUUGUCGCAGAGCGUUUUGUAUGCUUGCAGCUGUAGCAUUGCAGCAGAGAUGCAUGGUGACUAUGAGGUGAACCCCACCCUGCCUCGCUAUGCGCUUUCAGGGGCCUCGCGUGUUGUCCGAUCCAUCAGGGGAGCACAGCCAGAGAAAAAGUAAGAGCUGAAUAAUUUCACCUCCUUCAGUUUCACUGUGACCAAGAGAGAAAACAAGUGACAAGCCUUUGACGGGAACUCCAUUCGUCUUUCUCAGAAAGACAUUUUAUUUUUGCUUGGCUGCAGCUUUUAAUACCCAUUACCUCUGCGAGUUGCGUCCACGCGAGAAGCAGCCAAAUAAAGCAAAUGAAUAAUCUCUCUUUCUGUACGCUAUCAACAUUAACGGUUUCAAAGAGUUUUAGCCAGACUUGCGUCUGGCAUGAGGUCAGCGCCGCAGCUGUUUUCAUCACCUCGCUCAAUUCUGGGAAGGGAAUCAGAUGCCAAGGGGUCAGUGAGUGCGUGAGAGAGCGCGAAUAUCAGCUGUACAGUAAAAAAAAAGAAGGGGGUCACUGAGUUGGUGGAGCGGGAGAGGCGAGCUGCCCGAGUGUCUCUUUGUUUGAGUCGGAGUCCUGGAGUCGAUGGCGAGAGCGAGCAGAGCAGCAGACACGGCGCUCUGGAGAUGCUCCGUCUUCCUGGAAAGAAUGUGACCUGUAGCGACAUGCCUCCAACGGUCCGUCCUGCACCGCACGCCAGAGCUGGAACCCCGUGCUCACAUCAAAAAGGAGCAGGUUGCAGUUUUGACUCAGUAGCCUCCAGGGGGCCUUACGGGUGCAGUUUUCCAUAGAAAUAUUAAUGCAACGUGUGAAAACGUAAAGGCUCAUUCUGGCCUCUAGCUUCGGUGUUGUUCCUUUUAGAAUUUAAAUCCAUACUUUUCCUGCCGCUUCUAAAAAGAAAACCUUGUCCGGCGUGACCUGUUACAUAUACACAUAUUUUCUUAAAGAUAAUUGAUGAAAAAAGGCCGUUUAUUGUUCUUGUCACAGCCAAAACACUCCAGUUUAACCCCACUUAAAGAAAAUAACAAUACAACUUGAUCUGGCGUUUGCUUUGCAGCAAUGUUUCAAAGUUUUAGCCAGAUAUCCCGGCAGCCUCUGGACUCUUGUCGCCUUCAUCCGGCCAGCAGUGUGGUAGGAGGACGAGGUCAUUUGUAAUACGCAUUCAUGUUCUUUGUGUUUUGCGAGUUUUUGUUGUUUACAGAAACUCUUUUAGGGAGGAUUCUGGCUUUAUUGGUGGGAGAAGUCCUUUUAAGCCCACUGGUGCUGCCUGGGGAAUGUCUCUGAAGCCGGAGGAAUGCACUGACAUCACUGUUGAGCACUUUGCCAGGACUGAAUGGUUGGGAGUAGUUAGACGAUGGGAGUCCAACUCCGUCUCCUCAGUGUCCUCCCCAUGCAAGGUAAUGGUAUUCCCAGAUGUUCCGUUUUUGGCACUGCAGAGUGUUUAUAUGUGAGCACACAGAGAAGGUGGUUUCCCUGGAAAUUCUAAUGUUAGUGGGAAGAAGGUUUAAAUGAUGAGUUUGUCUUGAAAAAUUCAACACACAACUCAACAACCGCCAUUGGGUGGUGUGCUGUGAAACUUGUGCAGGCAUCCAUCUAUUUCAUCCACUUACUUUGCUGGUCUUUUCUGCAGCGCCACCUGCAAGUGGAAAUAUGAUUGUUUUUGGUCUCAUUCUCUCAUUUCAAAUAGCGCAAGACUACAAGUAGACUUCAAAAACUGCUAAAGUUAUUAUUAACAAAUGUUAGUGUGCUAACACGCUGAACUAAGAUACCAACCAUGGUAAACAAUCUAAUGAUGUCAUUCCUGGCAUGUUAGCAUGCUGAUAUUAGCAAUUAGCCUGAAAUACCAUUGUGCAUUAAAGCUACAUUCUGAUUUUUCAGCGUUCUAACAUGUUGUCUUUGUGUUUUGUUUGAUAUAUCUGAUGAAAAUGUAGAUACCUCACAUCGGCCUUACCGCUUUCCUUCUUUUUCUGCACUUCGUGAAUGAAAUUACCUGAUCGCGAGCUUGCUAGAUCUUUGGCCAACGUAAUUUAUGUGAGUGGCAUGAAUUAUAUGAUUACUUUUUAAUUGAUUUUCACGUCUACAUGAACACCACCGCAGCUCUCACAAAAUGAUUAUCCAGUCUUUUUAUUAAUACAUUGUACAUACAUUAGUUUAUUUAAUGAGAAAUGAACAUGUAGACGUCUUAAAGUCUUUUUUGUUUGUUUUUUAGAAAAAGGCCUCUGGCUUAAUAUUAAAUAGAUGUAAAAUGAUGUUUCCUCACUUAUGCAUUAUAGAUGAAGCCCUUCUUGCUUCAUCAAGAGCGCUUGUGAGCGGCUUUCAUGCUCUUUGGGGGAGAAAGAGCACGCUGGCUGCACCAGCCCCAGAACCAGUGCUGCGAUAUUGUAAACAAACGCAGGAGGAUGUGCAAUGCCCCCCCCCCCUCGCUCCCUUUGCGCACACACACGGUUUCCACACGUCUAUCUGUUUCUGUUUAAGUGUGAGAUAACGAUGGGCGGGUGCUUCCACAGAAGAGGUAGGAGGCGCCGACUGCCGAGAAGCAGCGUGAAAGCAAAGCGCCAAGAGAGCUAUGUGCGUGCGUGUGCGUGUGUGUGUGUGUGUGUGUGGUGUGUGUGCGUGCGUGUGUGUGCGUGCGUGUGCGUGUGUGUGUGUGUGUG